Molecule: ribosomal RNA, 535 nt
Filed under: Pseudomonas asplenii
Lineage: Bacteria; Pseudomonadati; Pseudomonadota; Gammaproteobacteria; Pseudomonadales; Pseudomonadaceae
Description: bacterial SSU rRNA
Rfam family: Bacterial small subunit ribosomal RNA
Source: RNAcentral
GCCUAGGAAUCUGCCUGGUAGUGGGGGACAACGUUUCGAAAGGAACGCUAAUACCGCAUACGUCCUACGGGAGAAAGCAGGGGACCUUCGGGCCUUGCGCUAUCAGAUGAGCCUAGGUCGGAUUAGCUAGUUGGUGGGGUAAUGGCUCACCAAGGCGACGAUCCGUAACUGGUCUGAGAGGAUGAUCAGUCACACUGGAACUGAGACACGGUCCAGACUCCUACGGGAGGCAGCAGUGGGGAAUAUUGGACAAUGGGCGAAAGCCUGAUCCAGCCAUGCCGCGUGUGUGAAGAAGGUCUUCGGAUUGUAAAGCACUUUAAGUUGGGAGGAAGGGCAUUAACCUAAUACGUUAGUGUUUUGACGUUACCGACAGAAUAAGCACCGGCUAACUCUGUGCCAGCAGCCGCGGUAAUACAGAGGGUGCAAGCGUUAAUCGGAAUUACUGGGCGUAAAGCGCGCGUAGGUGGUUUGUUAAGUUGGAUGUGAAAGCCCCGGGCUCAACCUGGGAACUGCAUCCAAAACUGGCAAGCUAGAG